ACUCAAAGGAAUUGACGGGGACCCGCACAAGCGGUGGAGCGUGUGGUUUAAUCCGAAGCUACGCGUAGAACCUUACCAAGGCUUGACAUUGCUGUCGUACCUCUGGGAAACCUGAGGGUCAUUUAGUUGGACAGAUAACAGGUGUUGCAUGGCCGUCGUCAGCUCGUGUCGUGAGAUGUUUGGUUAAGUCCAUCAACGAGCGCAACCCUUGUCGUAAGUUAGAUUUGUCUUACGAGACUGCCCCGGCAACGGGGAGGAAGGGGAGGAUGAUGUCUGGUCGUCAUUGCCCUUACGUCUUGGGCUACACACACGCUACAAUGGCCGGUACAACGGGUUGCUAAGCCGCAAGGUGGAGCUAAUCCCAUCAAAACCGGUCUCAGUUCGGAUUGGGGGCUGAAACUCGCCCCCAUGAAGCUGGAAUCGCUAGUAACCGUAGGUCAGCACACUACGGUGAAUACGUUCCCGGGUCUUGUACACACCGCCCGU
This 486-nucleotide ribosomal RNA is filed under the name uncultured bacterium. Its description in RNAcentral is "partial 16S ribosomal RNA". It matches the Rfam family "Bacterial small subunit ribosomal RNA", at positions 899 to 1397 of the family's 1533-position model. The record is from RNAcentral.